This 1906-nucleotide ribosomal RNA is filed under the name seawater metagenome. Its description in RNAcentral is "eukaryotic LSU rRNA". The stretch from base 1104 to 1906 matches the Rfam family "Eukaryotic large subunit ribosomal RNA", at positions 1891 to 2796 of the family's 3401-position model. The record is from RNAcentral.
AGUCAGUACGAGAGGAACACUUCGUUCAGAUACAUGGUAAAUGCAAUUAGUUGAGCAGCUAUAGUUGCGAUGCUAUCAUCUGUUGGAUUAUGACUGAACGCCUCUAAAUCAGAAUCCAUUCUGGCUACACAAUGUUCCAACCACCCCAAGUUUCACAUGGCAUACUUUAGGUUGCCUGUUUGCAUGUGUUCCUGCAGUUGUCACAAACACAAGGAACCACACAUAAGUUAAAGGCUUGGGUGUGAUGUGGCAUUGGCAGACGACUUAAUUUAACUCAGGUUGUGUAAGUGAUGAAAGUAGCCAUUGUGCUACGAUCCACUGAGCAUCAGCCUGUGUCAACGACCAUUGUUUUUUACUGUUCCAUUUGUUUCUGGGCUUGUUGAUGCUUGCAUUCGCCCGCAGCCUGACCCAUCACCGCGCUUCUGCAAGUGGCUGCAGUAUGCCGAUUGAAAUGCAAAUGCUGCCCCUUCAGAGAGACUUGAAAAGCAAAUGUUGCUCCUUCAGAGAGACAGAGAGGGACGCCAGCCGCAGCGUAGCAUUUCCAUUUCAACCGAAGUGCUCCUUCCUCUGUGGCUGCAGUAUGCCGAUUGAAAUGCAAAUGCUGCCCCUUCAGAGAGACAGAGAGGGACGCCAGCCGCAGCGAAGCAUUUCCAUUUCAACUGAAGUGCUGCUCCCUCUGUGGCUGCCCCCCCUCUAUCAUUAAUAUACGCAUAAUAAGACGCCGGCCGCAGCGCAGCAUUUCCAUUUCAACUAAAGUGCUGCUCCCGCUGUGGCUGGCCUCCCUCUAUGAAUAAUAUGCACAUAAUAAGAGAAGCCAACCGCAGAGGGAGCAGUAUGCUGGUUGACAUGCAAAUGCUGCUCCUUCUGCGGCUGGUCAUUGUCACUUUCUUUUCGUACUGUGGUAGCCGAGGGCUGUGGACAUGCAGGUUUCGCCCACGGAGCGGGUGCAGCGUUCCCGCGUGACGGGGGAGGGGUCCUUGUUCUAAAGCUGUGGCUAAGCAGGCGCUACUUGACCCUCCCAAGCGAAUUGUGAAUUCUCGCGUGGCAAUCGCUGCUGGGCAAGGAACGUGUUCGGACUUGCCUUGUUCAGUGAACAUCCAACUUAGAACUGGAGCGGACAAGGGGAAUCCGACUGUUUAAUUAAAACAAAGCAUUCUCGCGUGGCAAUCGCUUCUGGGCAAGGAAUGUUUUCGGACUUGCCUUGUUCAGUGAACAGCCAACUUAGAACUGGAGCGGACAAGGGGAAUCCGACUGUUGAAUUAAAACAAAGCAUUGCGAUGCCCUGAACAGGUGAUGACGCAAUGUGAUUUCUGCCCAGUGCUCUGAAUGUCGGAGUGAUGAAAUUUAAACAAGCGCGGGCAAAUGGCGGGAGUAACUAUGACUCUCUUAAGGUAGCCAAAUGCUUCGUCAUCUAAUCAGUGACGCGAAUGCAUGGAUUAGCGAGAUCCCCACGGUUCCUAUCGACUAUCUAGCGAAACCACAGCCAAGGAAACGGGCUUGGGGUAAUCAGCGGGGAAAGAAGACCCUGUUGAGCUUGACUCUAGUCUGACUCUGUGAAGUGACUUAGGAGGUGUGGCAUAAGUGGGAAUUUCGGCGAUCUUGAAAUACCACUACUCUUGAUGUUGCUUUACUUAUGAUGCGGGGCUGAAACUGACACACCAGUGAGUUUUGGUUUGCAAGUUGUUGCAUUUGCGGCUGAUCAGUGCGGAGGACAUAGUCAGGUGGGGAGUUUGGCGGGGGCGGCACAUCUGCGAAAUGAUAACGCAGGUGUCCUAAGGUGAGCUCAAUGGGAACAGAAAUCUUAUGUGGACCAAAAGGGGAAAAGCUUGCUUGAUUCUGAUUUUCAGUGCAAAUACAAACUGUGAAAACAUGGCCUAUCGAUCCUUUAGGUCUGAGAAAUGUUCAG